GUGCCAGCCGCCGCGGUAAUACGGAGGGGGCUAGCGUUGUUCGGAAUUACUGGGCGUAAAGCGCACGUAGGCGGACCAGAAAGUUGGGGUGAAAUCCCGGGGCUCAACCCCGGAACUGCCUUCAAAACUAUUGGUCUGGAGUUCGAGAGAGGUGAGUGGAAUACCGAGUGUAGAGGUGAAAUUCGUAGAUAUUCGGUGGAACACCAGUGGCGAAGGCGGCUCACUGGCUCGAUACUGACGCUGAGGUGCGAAAGCGUGGGGAGCAAACAGGAUUAGAUACCUGGUAGUCCACGCCGUAAACGAUGAAUGCCAGUCGUCGGGUUGCAUGCAA
Molecule: ribosomal RNA, 331 nt
Filed under: uncultured Paracoccus sp.
Lineage: Bacteria; Pseudomonadati; Pseudomonadota; Alphaproteobacteria; Rhodobacterales; Paracoccaceae
Description: bacterial SSU rRNA
Rfam family: Bacterial small subunit ribosomal RNA
Source: RNAcentral